UGGCAUCUUUAAUAAACCCCACCGUUGCCAUUGUGGCCCCUGGGACAAGAAAAGUUGCAAGAUCAAUCUUAGAACAUCCAAAACCAAGCGCCACUUGUCUGAUGCUCUUGGUUAUUUCACCUCUAAGACACAAU
Small nucleolar RNA from Hippocampus zosterae (dwarf seahorse), 134 nucleotides. RefSeq annotates it as small nucleolar RNA SNORA14. The record is from RefSeq and is a predicted model, not a curated record. NCBI's taxonomy places the organism in Eukaryota, Metazoa, Chordata, Actinopteri, Syngnathiformes, Syngnathidae. The transcript has a single exon.